AUUGAACGCUGGCGGCAGGCCUAACACAUGCAAGUCGAACGAGCGGCGGACGUGUGAGUAAUGUAUGGGAAUCUGCCUGAUGGAGGGGGAUAACUACUGGAAACGGUAGCUAAUACCGCAUACCAUCGGAUGUGCCCAUAUGGGAUUAGCUAGUAGGUGGGGUAAUGGCUCACGUAGGCGACGAUCCCUAGGUGGUCUGAGAGGAUUACCAGCCACACUGGAACGUAGACACGGUCCAGACUCAGACGGGAGGCAGCAGUGGGGAAUAUUGCACAAGGGGCGCAAGCCUGAUGCAGCCAUGACGCGUGUAUGAAGAAGGCCUUCGGGUUGUAAAGUACUUUCAGCGGGGAGGCGUUACCCGCAGAAGAAGCACCGGCUAACUCCGUGCCAGCAGCCGCGGGAAUAC
RNAcentral lists this ribosomal RNA (406 nucleotides) under uncultured bacterium. RNAcentral describes it as "partial 16S ribosomal RNA". It matches the Rfam family "Bacterial small subunit ribosomal RNA", at positions 30 to 526 of the family's 1533-position model. The record is from RNAcentral.